RNAcentral lists this ribosomal RNA (1148 nucleotides) under human gut metagenome. RNAcentral describes it as "bacterial LSU rRNA". It matches the Rfam family "Bacterial large subunit ribosomal RNA", at positions 807 to 1983 of the family's 2925-position model. The record is from RNAcentral.
AGGUGUGGAUAGGGGAGAAAUUCCAAUCGAACCCGGAGAUAGCUGGUUCUCCUCGAAAUAGCUUUAGGGCUAGCCUCAUGCAAGUCUUACGGAGGUAGAGCACUGAAUUCCUAAGGGGGCGUCAAAGCUUACCAAGGGAUAUCAAACUCCGAAUGCCGUGUAGAUGGUGCAUGGGAGUCAGACUAUCCGAGAUAAGUUGGGUAGUCAAAAGGGAAAGAGCCCAGACCUACAGCUAAGGUCCCAAAAUGUGUGUUAAGUGGAAAAGGAUGUGGGAUUUCGAAGACAACUAGGAUGUUGGCUUAGAAGCAGCCAUCCAUUAAAAGAGUGCGUAAUAGCUCACUAGUCGAGAGGUCCUGCGCCGAAAAUGUCCGGGGCUGAAACACACUACCGAAGCUUGGGAAUUGACGAAUGUUAAUUGGUAGAGGAGCAUUCUUAACGGGGCGAAGCUGUACCGGAAGGAGCAGUGGACUGUUAAGAAGAGAGAAUGCCGGAAUGAGUAGCGAGAGGAAGGUGAGAAUCCUUCCGGCCGAAUAUCUAAGGUUUCCAGAGUAAAGCUGAUCUGCUCUGGGUAAGUCGGGGCCUAAGGCGAGGUCGAAAGACGUAGUCGAUGGAUAACAGGUAAAGAUUCCUGUACUGUAUCAUAACAGAACUGUGGGGACGCAGACAGAGAGCAUAAGCCGGGAAUGGAAAGACCGGUACAAGCGAGGUAGGAGUGCAUCAGGCAAAUCCGGUGCACAAUCUGAAGACGUGAUGUGGGGCGUAAAGCCGGAAGUAUGUGAGCUGGCUGCCAAGAAAAGCCGCUAUUGUUUAUGAUAUACCCGUACCGUAAACCGACACAGGUGGAUGAGGAGAGAAUCCUAAGGCCGACGGGAGAAGCAUUGUUAAGGAACUCGGCAAAAUGACUCCGUAACUUCGGGAGAAGGAGUGCCAUGUAAAAGUGGCCGCAGAGAAUUGGCCCAAGCAACUGUUUAGCAAAAACACAGGUCUAUGCAAAACCGAAAGGUGAGGUAUAUGGGCUGACGCCUGCCCGGUGCUGGAAGGUUAAGAGGAGAUGUUAGAGCAAUCGAAGCAUUGAAUUUAAGCCCCAGUAAACGGCGGCCGUAACUAUAACGGUCCUAAGGUAGCGAAAUUCCUUGUCGGGUAAGUUC